Molecule: ribosomal RNA, 383 nt
Filed under: uncultured eukaryote
Lineage: Eukaryota
Description: SSU rRNA
Rfam family: Eukaryotic small subunit ribosomal RNA
Source: RNAcentral
AGCUCUGCGUGCGUAUAUCAAUGCUGAUGCGGUUAAAACGCUCGUAGUCGGAGGUUGGCGGGGGUGUGCGUCAGUGCCGAUGAGGCGUGGCGCGCGCCGCUGCUUUUGUGGAUGCUGCCGCGCGGGGCCUUAGUUGGCUUGGUGCGUGCGGCGCCACUGUUUACUGUGAAUAAAUUAGGGUGUUCAAAGCAGGCGUUUGCCGUGAAUAUACUAGCAUGGAAUAAUAGAAUAGGACCUCUUUUGGCCUAUUUUGUUGGUUUGUGAGGCGGAGGUAAUGAUUAAGAGGGACGGUUGGGGGCAUUUGUAUUGCGGCGUCAGAGGUGAAAUUCUUGGAUUGCCGCAAGACAAACAGCUGCGAAAGCGUCUGCCAAGGACGUUUUCAU